This 459-nucleotide ribosomal RNA is filed under the name uncultured bacterium. RNAcentral's name for it is "partial 16S ribosomal RNA". It matches the Rfam family "Bacterial small subunit ribosomal RNA", at positions 338 to 795 of the family's 1533-position model. The record is from RNAcentral.
CCUACGGGAGGCAGCAGUGAGGAAUAUUGGUCAAUGGGCGGAAGCCUGAACCAGCCAAGUAGCGUGCGGGAUGAAGGCCCUACGGGUCGUAAACCGCUUUUGUACGGGGAUAACACCCUCCACUUGUGGUGGUCUGCAGGUACCGUGCGAAUAAGGGCCGGCUAAUUCCGUGCCAGCAGCCGCGGUAAUACGGAAGGCCCGAGCGUUAUCCGGAUUUAUUGGGGUUAAAGGGAGCGUAGGCGGGCGUUCAAGUCAGCUGUAAAAUCGCGGGGCUCAACCGCGCCCCGCCGUUGAAACUGGGGGCCUUGAGUUGACGACAGGCAGGCGGAAUGCGUGGUGUAGCGGUGAAAUGCAUAGAUAUCACGAGGAACCCCGAUUGCGAAGGCAGCCUGCCGGGGUGCGACUGACGCUGAGGCUCGAAGGUGCGGGUAUCGAACAGGAUUAGAUACCCGUGUAGUC